Molecule: ribosomal RNA, 759 nt
Filed under: uncultured organism
Description: bacterial SSU rRNA
Rfam family: Bacterial small subunit ribosomal RNA
Source: RNAcentral
UUGAUCCUGGCUCAGAACGAACGCUGGCGGCAUGCUUCAUACAUGCAAGUCGAGCGCGAAAGUCCCCUUCGGGGGGCGAUUAGAGCGGCGCACGGGUGAGUAACGGGUGGAUAAUCUGCCUUCCGGUGGAGGAUAACAGCGGGAAACUGCUGCUAAUACUGCGUACGUUUGCUGUCCGCAAGGACGGUAAAGAAAGGCGCGUUUGCGUCGCCGGAAGAUGAGUCCGCCGCCCAUUAGCUAGUUGGCGGGAUAACAGCCCACCAAGGCAACGAUGGGUAGCCGAGCUGAGAGGUUGAUCGGCCACACUGGAACUGAGACACGGUCCAGACACCUACGGGUGGCAGCAGUAGGGAAUAUUGGUCAAUGGGCGAAAGCCUGAACCAGCCAUGCCGCGUGGAGGAUGAAGGCCUUCGGGUCGUAAACUCCUUUUCUAAGGGAAGAAUCUCUGGUGGAGGAAAUGCCACCGGGUUGACGGUACCUUAGGAAUAAGCAACGGCCAACUCCGUGCCAGCAGCCGCGGUAAUACGGAGGUUGCAAGCGUUGUUCGGAAUUACUGGGCGUAAAGGGAGCGCAGGCGGCCAGGUCAGUCUGAAGUGAAAGCCCGAGGCUCAACCUCGGAAGUGCUUUGGAUACUGCCUGGCUUGAGUACGUGAGAGGAGAGCGGAAUUCCAGGUGUAGCGGUGACAUGCGUAGAUAUCUGGAGGAACACCGAUGGCGAAAGCAGCUCUCUGGCACGUUACUGACGCUGAGGCUCGAAAG